Molecule: ribosomal RNA, 120 nt
Filed under: uncultured bacterium
Lineage: Bacteria
Description: partial 16S ribosomal RNA
Rfam family: Bacterial small subunit ribosomal RNA
Source: RNAcentral
UCACUUAUAGAUGGGCCCGCGGCGCAUUAGCUAGUUGGUGAGGUAAUGGCUCACCAAGGCGACGAUGCGUAGCCGACCUGAGAGGGUGAUCGGCCACACUGGGACUGAGACACGGCCCAG